CCUACGGGGGGCUGCAGUAGGGAAUCUUUCACAAUGGGCGAAAGCCUGAUGGAGCAACGCCGCGUGCAGGAUGAAGGCCUUCGCGUUGUAAACUGCUUUUAUAAGCGAGAAAUAUGAUGGUAACUUAUGAAUAAGGAUCGGCUAACUACGUGCCAGCAGCCGCGGUCAUACGUAGGAUCCGAGCAUUAUCCGGAGUGACUGGGUGUAAAGAGUUGCGUAGGUAGCAUAAUAAGUAGCUAGUGAAAUCUGGUGGCUCAACCAUUCAGACUAUUAGCUAAACUGUUAAGCUCGAGACCGUUAGGGGUAACUGGAAUUUCUAGUGUAGGAGUGAAAUCCGUAGAUAUUAGAAGGAACACCAGUAGCGUAGGCAGGUUACUGGGACGGUUCUGACGCUGAAGCACGAAAGCGUGGGUAUCGAACAGGAUUAGAUACCCGGGUAGUC
This 442-nucleotide ribosomal RNA is filed under the name uncultured bacterium. Its description in RNAcentral is "partial 16S ribosomal RNA". It matches the Rfam family "Bacterial small subunit ribosomal RNA", at positions 338 to 795 of the family's 1533-position model. The record is from RNAcentral.